CCUACGGGAGGCAGCAGUGGGGAAUAUUGCACAAUGGGCGAAAGCCUGAUGCAGCAACGCCGCGUGAAGGAAGAAGGCCUUCGGGUCGUAAACUUCUGUCCUUGGGGAAGAAGAACUGACGGUACCCAAGGAGGAAGCCCCGGCUAACUACGUGCCAGCAGCCGCGGUAAUACGUAGGGAGCAAGCGUUAUCCGGAUUUAUUGGGUGUAAAGGGUGCGUAGACGGGAAUGCAAGUUGGUUGUGAAAUCCCUCGGCUUAACUGAGGAACUGCAACCAAAACUACAUUUCUUGAGUGCUGGAGAGGA
Molecule: ribosomal RNA, 305 nt
Filed under: uncultured bacterium
Lineage: Bacteria
Description: bacterial SSU rRNA
Rfam family: Bacterial small subunit ribosomal RNA
Source: RNAcentral